AGCUGCCGCCGGGUGAGUACGCGUGUAUAAUCUACCCCUGAAUUUGGGAUAACAGUUCGAAAGGGCUGCUAAUACCGGAUAAUAUGAUUCUUACCACGGUUUGAAUUAUCAAAGAGGGCCUCUCCUUGGAAGCUCUUGUUUGGGGAUGAGUUCGCGUACCAUUAGUUUGUUGGUGGGGUAACGGCCUACCAAKACUACRAUGGUUAGCUGGUCUGAGAGGAUGAUCAKCCACACUGGAACUGACACACGGUCCAKACUCCUACGGGAGGCASCAGUGAGGAAUUUUGCRCAAUGGGCGAAAKCCUGACGCAGCAACGCCGCGUGAGUGAUGAAGGCUCUUGGGUCGUAAAKCUYUGUCAAGUGGGAAGAAACCUUCCAYRMUUAAUACKCAURGKAACUGACGGUACCACUGAAGGAAGCACCGGCUAACUCCGUGCCWGCAGCCGCGGUAACACGGGGGGUGCAAGCGUUAUUCGKAAUUAUUGGGCGUAAAGGGCGYGUAGKCGGCCAUUUAAGUCGGGUGUGAWAUCCCGGGGCUUAACCCCGGAMCUGCAUCCGAUACUGGAUGGCUUGAGUAUSGGAGAGGGAAGUGGAAUUCCAGGUGUAKAGGUGAAAUUCGUAGAUAUCUGGAGGAACACCAGUGGCGAAGGCGACUUCCUGGACCAAUACUGACGCUGAGGCGCGAAGGCGUGGGGAGCAAACAGGAUUAGAUA
This 713-nucleotide ribosomal RNA is filed under the name uncultured bacterium. Its description in RNAcentral is "partial 16S ribosomal RNA". The record is from RNAcentral.